RNAcentral lists this ribosomal RNA (253 nucleotides) under uncultured bacterium. Its description in RNAcentral is "partial 16S ribosomal RNA". It matches the Rfam family "Archaeal small subunit ribosomal RNA", at positions 474 to 727 of the family's 1478-position model. The record is from RNAcentral.
UACCAGCACCCCGAGUGGUCGGGACGUUUAUUGGGCCUAAAGCAUCCGUAGCCGGUUCUACAAGUCUUCCGUUAAAUCCACCUGCUUAACAGAUGGGCUGCGGAAGAUACUAUGGAGCUAGGAGGCGGGAGAGGCAAGCGGUACUCGAUGGGUAGGGGUAAAAUCCGUUGAUCCAUUGAAGACCACCAGUGGCGAAGGCGGCUUGCCAGAACGCGCUCGACGGUGAGGGAUGAAAGCUAGGGGAGCAAACCGG